Molecule: ribosomal RNA, 1361 nt
Filed under: Latilactobacillus sakei
Lineage: Bacteria; Bacillati; Bacillota; Bacilli; Lactobacillales; Lactobacillaceae
Description: Lactobacillus sakei 16S ribosomal RNA
Rfam family: Bacterial small subunit ribosomal RNA
Source: RNAcentral
GAGUGGCGGACGGGUGAGUAACACGUGGGUAACCUGCCCUAAAGUGGGGGAUAACAUUUGGAAACAGAUGCUAAUACCGCAUAAAACCUAACACCGCAUGGUGUAGGGUUGAAAGAUGGUUUCGGCUAUCACUUUAGGAUGGACCCGCGGUGCAUUAGUUAGUUGGUGAGGUAAAGGCUCACCAAGACCGUGAUGCAUAGCCGACCUGAGAGGGUAAUCGGCCACACUGGGACUGAGACACGGCCCAGACUCCUACGGGAGGCAGCAGUAGGGAAUCUUCCACAAUGGACGAAAGUCUGAUGGAGCAACGCCGCGUGAGUGAAGAAGGUUUUCGGAUCGUAAAACUCUGUUGUUGGAGAAGAAUGUAUCUGAUAGUAACUGAUCAGGUAGUGACGGUAUCCAACCAGAAAGCCACGGCUAACUACGUGCCAGCAGCCGCGGUAAUACGUAGGUGGCAAGCGUUGUCCGGAUUUAUUGGGCGUAAAGCGAGCGCAGGCGGUUUCUUAAGUCUGAUGUGAAAGCCUUCGGCUCAACCGAAGAAGUGCAUCGGAAACUGGGAAACUUGAGUGCAGAAGAGGACAGUGGAACUCCAUGUGUAGCGGUGAAAUGCGUAGAUAUAUGGAAGAACACCAGUGGCGAAGGCGGCUGUCUGGUCUGUAACUGACGCUGAGGCUCGAAAGCAUGGGUAGCAAACAGGAUUAGAUACCCUGGUAGUCCAUGCCGUAAACGAUGAGUGCUAGGUGUUGGAGGGUUUCCGCCCUUCAGUGCCGCAGCUAACGCAUUAAGCACUCCGCCUGGGGAGUACGACCGCAAGGUUGAAACUCAAAGGAAUUGACGGGGGCCCGCACAAGCGGUGGAGCAUGUGGUUUAAUUCGAAGCAACGCGAAGAACCUUACCAGGUCUUGACAUCCUUUGACCACUCUAGAGAUAGAGCUUUCCCUUCGGGGACAAAGUGACAGGUGGUGCAUGGUUGUCGUCAGCUCGUGUCGUGAGAUGUUGGGUUAAGUCCCGCAACGAGCGCAACCCUUAUUACUAGUUGCCAGCAUUUAGUUGGGCACUCUAGUGAGACUGCCGGUGACAAACCGGAGGAAGGUGGGGACGACGUCAAAUCAUCAUGCCCCUUAUGACCUGGGCUACACACGUGCUACAAUGGAUGGUACAACGAGUUGCGAGACCGCGAGGUUUAGCUAAUCUCUUAAAACCAUUCUCAGUUCGGAUUGUAGGCUGCAACUCGCCUACAUGAAGCCGGAAUCGCUAGUAAUCGCGGAUCAGCAUGCCGCGGUGAAUACGUUCCCGGGCCUUGUACACACCGCCCGUCACACCAUGAGAGUUUGUAACACCCAAAGCCGGUGAGGUAACCC